UACGGAGGGGGCAAGCGUUAUUCGGAAUCAUUGGGCGUAAAGGGCGCGUAGGCGGCUUGGCAAGUCAAAGGUGAAAUCCCUCGGCCCAACCGAGGAACUGCCUUUGAUACUGCCUCGCUUGAGGCCGGGAGAGGGUAGCGGAAUUCCCAGUGUAGCGGUGAAAUGCGUAGAUAUUGGGAGGAACACCAGUGGCGAAGGCGGCUACCUGGACCGGUUCUGACGCUGAUGCGCGAAAGCGUGGGGAGCAAAC
RNAcentral lists this ribosomal RNA (250 nucleotides) under uncultured bacterium. Its description in RNAcentral is "partial 16S ribosomal RNA". It matches the Rfam family "Bacterial small subunit ribosomal RNA", at positions 524 to 773 of the family's 1533-position model. The record is from RNAcentral.